UUGUCUCAAAGAUUAAGCCAUGCAUGUCUCAGUACAAGCCAAAUUAAGGUGAAACCGCGAAAGGCUCAUUAAAUCAGUUAUGGUUCCUUAGAUCGUACCCACAUUUACUUGGAUAACUGUGGUAAUUCUAGAGCUAAUACAUGCAAACAGAGCUCCGACCGGAGACGGAAGGAACGCUUUUAUUAGAUCAAAACCAAUCGGUGGCAGUUUAUCUGUCAUCGUACAAUUUGGUGACUCUGAAUAACUUUACGCUGAUCGCACGGUCUUGCACCGGCGACGCAUCUUUCAAAUGUCUGCCUUAUCAACUGUCGAUGGUAGGUUCUGCGCCUACCAUGGUUGUAACGGGUAACGGGGAAUCAGGGUUCGAUUCCGGAGAGGGAGCCUGAGAAACGGCUACCACAUCCAAGGAAGGCAGCAGGCGCGCAAAUUACCCACUCCCGGCACGGGGAGGUAGUGACGAAAAAUAACGAUACGGGACUCAUCCGAGGCCCCGUAAUCGGAAUGAGUACACUCUAAACCCUUUAACGAGGAUCAAUUGGAGGGCAAGUCUGGUGCCAGCAGCCGCGGUAAUUCCAGCUCCAAUAGCGUAUAUUAAAGUUGUUGCGGUUAAAAAGCUCGUAGUCGAAUCUGUGUUUCGCACCGCUGGUUCAUCGUUCGCGGUGUUAACUGGCGUGCCGCGAGACGUCCUGCCGGUGGGCUUAGCUCGCAAGGGCGGCCCAACUCAAUCCUGCCGCGGUGCUCUUCAUUGAGUGUCGAGGUGGGCCGGCACGUUUACUUUGAACAAAUUAAAGUGCUUAAAGCAGGCUAAAACUUUGCCUGAAUACUGUGUGCAUGGAAUAAUGGAAUAGGACCUCGGUUCUAUUUUGUUGGUUUUCGGAACCCCGAGGUAAUGAUUAAUAGGAACGGAUGGGGGCAUUCGUAUUGCGACGUUAGAGGUGAAAUUCUUGGAUCGUCGCAAGACGGACAGAAGCGAAAGCAUUUGCCAAAAACGCUUUCAUUGAUCAAGAACGAAAGUUAGAGGUUCGAAGGCGAUCAGAUACCGCCCUAGUUCUAACCAUAAACGAUGCCAGCUAGCGAUCCGCCGACGUUCCUCCGAUGACUCGGCGGGCAGCUUCCGGGAAACCAAAGCUUUUGGGUUCCGGGGGAAGUAUGGUUGCAAAGCUGAAACUUAAAGGAAUUGACGGAAGGGCACCACCAGGAGUGGAGCCUGCGGCUUAAUU
This 1220-nucleotide ribosomal RNA is filed under the name Chaerodes trachyscelides. Its description in RNAcentral is "SSU rRNA". It matches the Rfam family "Eukaryotic small subunit ribosomal RNA", at positions 32 to 1195 of the family's 1831-position model. The record is from RNAcentral. Lineage: Eukaryota; Metazoa; Arthropoda; Insecta; Coleoptera; Tenebrionidae.